Rhinopithecus roxellana (golden snub-nosed monkey) is the source of this 322-nucleotide long non-coding RNA. RefSeq lists it as uncharacterized. The record is from RefSeq and is a predicted model, not a curated record. Lineage: Eukaryota; Metazoa; Chordata; Mammalia; Primates; Cercopithecidae. The transcript is spliced from 3 exons.
ACCUUGCCUGAUCUCCCACCCAGUGCUGGAGUAUUCCACGGACUCCAUGUAGGUACUGCACCUUUGCAAGAAUACUGCUGGUGUUGGCCUCUCAAUUGGGCAAAGCACUCCAGACCUUUUGGAAGAGUGACUCCAAAGGCAAGCACCUGCUUGGCAGGCCCCUCACUUUCUACGCAAGUAUAAGUCUCCCAAGUACUAGAAUGCAGAGUUUCCUGGCUAUGGGAUAAGCACAACUUGGAUCCAAAUGCCCUAUAUUAAUGAAAUCAAACUUACUCGUCCCAGAAAACACUGUCUGCUAUUCUGGAGGAUGCCUGGUCACGCU